Long non-coding RNA from Galendromus occidentalis (western predatory mite), 834 nucleotides. RefSeq lists it as uncharacterized. NCBI's taxonomy places the organism in Eukaryota, Metazoa, Arthropoda, Arachnida, Mesostigmata, Phytoseiidae. The transcript has 4 exons. The record is from RefSeq and is a predicted model, not a curated record.
GAGACUACCGGAACUCGACUCAACGACUCGCCGACGUCAACAUCGGUAUCGAGACAAAGAAAUCGUCGAGCUCGUCUCCGUCGGGAUCGAACGACUCCGCUCGUUCGAAUCAAUCGUACCGGGAUCCUUUGUACGGUGACGACAGAGGUGCAUGAAUAUCGACAUGUCCGAAGCAGUGAGUGAGCCCCACGCGAUAGCAGAAGCAGACAAAAGCAAGGCAGAUGGCUCGUCCGCUCAAGAUGACACCGCAGUCCAGCAAACCCCGGGGGAGCAGACGGAAGACAACGACGAUGUCUCCGAUAUCAACUUGAAAGAUCCCGAAUUGGAGAAAGUGGCGCUGAAAAUGCAAUCAAAAUUCCGCUUCAAGAAGAAGUAAUCUCCGGGAAGGAAUCGCAGACAAUCGACUUCGCAGGAUUGUACCAAGAACAGCUCGAAGAAAACUGCGGGCAGGGUCGUUCCGGAAUCCACGGGCUAUUUUCACGGAAAUAGAGAAUCUCGCUCCGAGCGUCCUCGUGAAUUCAUCUUGGAUUAUUACAAGUUGGGACGUUCGAGAAUAAUUCUUUCUUACCGCGGCACAUCUAGGUCCCAUGAUCGGUCCGAGCUCGGUGAACACAGCUUGGGCUGGGUCGCAUUCAGGAGCUACGUUGAGAAUACUCUUGGACGCGAACUCUACUACUUGCAACUCUCCGGAUCCUACGCAGCCGCUCAUCGAGAGUGGAUGGUGAUCCAGGGUAAAAUGGCAUGGCGUAAGAGAUUUCACCGGACGAUGUCUGUGAUUUCUAUGAGGUUUCCGAAAGCGAAAUCUCUCGACCUGCCUAAUCCUGCUCUAGAAUA